This 111-nucleotide ribosomal RNA is filed under the name Caerostris darwini. The record is from RNAcentral. Lineage: Eukaryota; Metazoa; Arthropoda; Arachnida; Araneae; Araneidae.
ACGGCCGUACCAUGCUGAAUAUAUCGGUUCUCGUUAGAUCACCGAAGUUAAGCAUCAUUGGGCGCGGUCAGUACUUGGGUGGGUGACCACCUGGGAACACUGCGUGCCGUU